This 712-nucleotide ribosomal RNA is filed under the name uncultured bacterium. RNAcentral describes it as "bacterial SSU rRNA". The stretch from base 1 to 529 matches the Rfam family "Bacterial small subunit ribosomal RNA", at positions 338 to 1533 of the family's 1533-position model. The record is from RNAcentral.
CCUACGGGAGGCAGCAGUAAGGAAUAUUGGUCAAUGGACGAAAGUCUGAACCAGCCAUGCCGCGUGAAGGAUUAAGGCCCUCUGGGUUGUAAACUUCUUUUAUCUGGGACGAAAAAAGGGUAGUCUUACUCACUUGACGGUACCAGAGGAAUAAGCACCGGCUAACUCCGUGCCAGCAGCCGCGGUAAUACGGAGGGUGCAAGCGUUAUCCGGAUUUACUGGGUUUAAAGGGUGCGUAGGUGGGCUUGUAAGUCAGUGGUGAAAUCUCCGGGCUUAACCCGGAAACUGCCAUUGAUACUAUAGGUCUUGAAUUAUCUGGAGGUAAGCGGAAUAUGUCAUGUAGCGGUGAAAUGCUUAGAUAUGACAUAGAACACCAAUUGCGAAGGCAGCUUACUACGGAUACAUUGACACUGAGGCACGAAAGCGUGGGGACUACAACGAGUAGUAGUACUACCGUAGGUACGUACCGACCGUAACCCGUAAACGUAGUAGGUACUUACCGUACCGAACUACUACGACGACGUACUAACUACGUUGGUUGGUUCGUUCGUAGUACGGAACGGAACGAACGUAAGUUAAGUUACCGUACCCGUACCGGUAACGGGUAACGGUAACGUACGUACGUAACGUAAGUAGUUAAGUUAAACGUAAACGUUAAAGUUAAAGUUAAGGACGGCGNGAGACGCGACGACGACGACGACGGAGGAGGAGG